GAUGAACGCUGGCGGCGUGCCUAACACAUGCAAGUCGAACGCUGGAGAUCUAGCUUGCUAGUUCGAAGGAGUGGCGAACGUGAGAGUAUGACAGAAGCAACCGACACACGAAGACAGGGAGAAUCGCAGGAAAGGGGGACAAAUACAGAAUAGUGAUUCGGAAGGCUUCUUGUGGUGAUUAAAGGGUAAAAACGCUGGAGGAUGGGCUGAUGGAGGAUUAGUUGGUGGGUGAGGUAACGGCCGACCAAGACGAUGAUGCGUAGACGGCCGGAGCGAGUGAACGCCCACAUUGGGACUGAGACACCGCCCAUACUCCUGCGGCACGCAGCAGUAGGGUAGUGUAGGCAGCGGGGGCGACCCUUACCCAGCGACGCCGCGUGAGUGAAGACGGCGUUCGGGGUGUAAAGCUCUGUUGUAAGGGAAGAACGGUAGAUAGAAAAUAUCUAAGUGACGGUACCUUACCAGAAAGCCACGGCUAACUACGUG
This 486-nucleotide ribosomal RNA is filed under the name uncultured bacterium. RNAcentral describes it as "partial 16S ribosomal RNA". It matches the Rfam family "Bacterial small subunit ribosomal RNA", at positions 28 to 507 of the family's 1533-position model. The record is from RNAcentral.